GACGAACGCUGGCGGCGUGCUUAAUACAUGCAAGUCAACUGAACUUGAGGUAGCAAUAUCACAAGAGAGGUGGCGCACGGGUGAGUAACACGUAGGUAAUCUGCCUUUAGGUCUGACAUAAUUCCGCGAAAGCGGGACUAAUAUCAGAUGAUGCAGCGGCUCGACAUCGAGACAGUUGUUAAACCUUCGGGCCUAAAGAUGAGCCUGCGUCUGAUUAGGUAGUUGGCGGAGUAAAAGCCCACCAAGCCUGCGAUCAGUAGCUGGUCUGAGAGGAUGAUCAGCCACACUGGAACUGAGACACGGUCCAGACUCCUACGGGAGGCAGCAGUAAGGAAUAUUGCUCAAUGGCCGAAAGGCUGAAGCAGCAACGCCGCGUGGAGGAUGAAAUACUUUU
This 394-nucleotide ribosomal RNA is filed under the name uncultured bacterium. RNAcentral's name for it is "bacterial SSU rRNA". It matches the Rfam family "Bacterial small subunit ribosomal RNA", at positions 28 to 420 of the family's 1533-position model. The record is from RNAcentral.